Molecule: long non-coding RNA, 1006 nt
Filed under: Nothobranchius furzeri (turquoise killifish)
Lineage: Eukaryota; Metazoa; Chordata; Actinopteri; Cyprinodontiformes; Nothobranchiidae
Description: lncRNA (ENSNFUG00015001903.1)
Source: RNAcentral
UUACCUCGGACACGGGCCGGGCGCCUUUAUUUUUAUUCGAAAUCAUUAAAAAAAUUAAAACACUUAAACGCAGCAGUAGAGCCCUGUGCGGGACUGUUUUCUUCAUCCCGCUCCGCUCCCGCUGAAUUUCUGACCAUUACAGCCUGCAACCGCAACGUGUGUGUUACCCCCAAAUUCCACUACCUCCACUCCGCUCCGGCACGAACUCCGCAGCAAAAUCGGUCCCGUUGUAGUCAAUCAGAGCUAUUCCACUACUGCGGCAGUGUGGCGCCCUCUGUUCCGGCGUCCGGCAAAAAUAGAAUCGAUCCUAUUUUUGCCGGACGCCGGAGCACCUCCGCAGUCAAUGGACAGGAAUCACAACCGCCCAACAGGAAAGGGAGCAAGCACAACUUCCGUUAUUUCACAAUAAAUCGAUAAACAAAAAGCAUUUUUUGUUUCAUAUGCACAGGUUUAAAACUUUUAACAACUAUCAAUGGCGGCUGAAAUUUAAAUGCACAAAAGUAAGCCAUAAAUACAGUUUCCACUAUCAAAGUAGUCACACUUUGUUGAUCCAAACACUGCUGAUCUCUCAACACAAAUGAUGGGCAGAUUAAACAGUUCAUUUCGAUGCUUCUCCCACACAACAGGUGUUUGGAUCUAACUUCCGCGUUUAUUGCUCGGACUGUAUCGCAAGGUCUCGAAAAUCCCGCGCAUGCUUGUUUGCGCACCUCAGGUCUCCGCACCAGAGCGGAGCCGUUGUAGAGCGCGUACCAGUAAAAUUGAGUUCGGAAGCGAGCGGCUGCGGAAGGCGGGGGCGGAGCGGAGGUAGUGAAAUUUGGGGGUCCAACUGUGUGAAAUUCACCAGAACUCAUCUCUGAGUUGUUGCAUUAAAUUAAAUAGCCUACACCAUGACAAAUUGUAGUGUUUCAAUGUUUCAUUAAAGCACUCUGGUCUUAAAAAGAAAAAACUAAAUGUUUAGUGAGUUACUAGCCUUGCAAGUCAUCCAAUAUUUAUAAAGAGUCUGGUC